Molecule: ribosomal RNA, 526 nt
Filed under: uncultured bacterium
Lineage: Bacteria
Description: bacterial SSU rRNA
Rfam family: Bacterial small subunit ribosomal RNA
Source: RNAcentral
CACGUAGGUGGCUAGCGUUAUUCGGAUUUACUGGGCGUAAAGGGUCCGCAGGGGGCCUGGCAAGUCUGCCGUGAAAGGCCGGGGCUCAACCCCGGCACUGCGGUGGAAACAGCCGGGCUGGAGUCAGUGAGGGGCAGACGGAACACCUGGUGUAGCGGUGGAAUGCGUGGAUAUCAGGUGGAACACCUAUGGCGAAGGCGGUCUGCUGGCACAUGACUGACCCUCAUGGACGAAAGCGUGGGUAGCAAACAGGAUUAGAUACCCUGGUAGUCCACGCCGUAAACUUUGUGAACUAGAUGUGCCCGGGCUGGCCCCGGGCGUGUCCAAGCCAACGCGAUAAGUUCACCGCCUGGGGACUACGGCCGCAAGGCUAAAACUCAAAGGAAUUGACGGGGGCCCGCACAAGCGGUGGAGCAUGUUGCUUAAUUCGAGGCAACGCGAAGAACCUUACCCGGGUUUGACAUGCUUCCGGCCGGCGUUGAAAGACGCCCUUCCCUCGGGACGGAAGCACAGAUGCUGCAUGGCU